ACACGUCACUAAACCGAAAGCUCCAAAAUAGAGAGGUGGGCCCUGGCACCAACGUUCGAAUUUCCGCUGGAUUAGGGUUCCAAAUUAGAUUUCGGGGGUUUGUUUUUUUUAAGCUUCGAUUAAAGAUGCAGAAAGGGGAAAAAUGCAGAAGAGAAGAUGGAGAAGAAGAGAUCGAUGCCGAAAAUAUGCGAUCCUGAUCAUUCUCUUUCCCUCGAGAAGGAAUCUUAGCUUUAGCGACACUUUGGUGGCGCUUCGUAUAAUGCGAUCUCAGUUUCCUCAAAUUGAUAAGGUUAGCUCUAUACUUCUCCUUAAAGGUUGCAAUUCGACAUUUCAUUUUACAGUCACAAUUGUGUAGCAUAGUAAAGAACAGAACUUAAGUGGAUAGAGAGCUAGAGGUUUGGUUCCUUAACCUUCAAAUUUGGAAUAUUAUUUCGGAUGCAAAAUUGUUCCUGAACUAUGAUUCAAUUUGAAGUUUGGCCUAAAAUGUAUUUUAUUAAUUGAAUAUUUGUUUUCAUUAGUUGAGUGGCCUGUUAUUCUCUCGCAUUUUGCGCUGAAGCCUCUAAUUGUAGAUCCAAGUUUUUGGACUUUAUUCUAUGAGAUAUAUAUUGUAUUUGGAUUUUCUGCACUUUAUCUAUUUCUCUAAGGCUUCAUGGUUUCCCAGGAGAAGGAGUCACCCACUCGGCUACUCCCCAAGUUCAAAGUAGAUCCAUGUCCAUUUUGCAGGUUUUAGUUAGACAUGUACAUUUCAAGGCUUACAUCAUGUGCUUCCUGGUAAAAUAGAUAUUUGGGACAUGUUCGUGACUGAAACAUGAUAAGAAAAGAUUUCUAACAAUCUGAAUAGUGAGCGCCUGGUUCUUCUGAAGUGAGCAUGUAAAUCUUCUUUUUUGUUAGGAGUUUCUUUGAUAUGUAAUAUUUCUUGCAACUUCCUCUCCUGCAUUUAUCUAUAGAAUAGUUUUUCCACUUAGUUCCAUUUGGUUUAUAUUAUAUGUUCUCUUUCUGCACUCUCUAAGUAGGGAGAAAGCAGUGCUUGUUUUCAAUCUAAAUACUGGACAAGAUGAUCAUGGUAUAAUGUUUUUAGAUAAUUAUCAAAAACAGGUUGGUUGAUUGAUGUUUCUAAAUUCGUUUGAUCAAGGAUGAUUAGCUUGUCAUGUUUAGUUUGCAACUUUAAUGUCACUUAGUUCAAACUGAGGGCCUGUUACUUAUAAUCUGGGCUGACUCUGAUUGAGGUAUUAGGCUUUAUGGUGCUUGGUAUUGUUAGUGAGGGAUGCUUGUUUUGUUGCAAGGCUAAUAAUGUAGGCUUCAUUUGACUGUUUUUCUCUGUCCAUAUUAUUUGUACACAUAGAACAUGCUGUCAACUGCAUGGAAGAAAGGAAACAAGGUGAUCUUGAAGUUUUAGAUGGUUUACAGUGCAUGUAUUGAAUCCAAGCUGGAACCUAGCAUUGAACAUCAAGAACUUGUGAGUGACCUAAACACCAACGAACUAUGAUGUUCGUUUACAUUGUACUCUGCUUUGAGACAGACUAACUUUGUGUUUAUCAGAACCCUCUGUCAUCAACUACAUUCUGCAAGUACAAUUUUGAGUCAUUGUAUGAAUUUUUUUUUUCUGUUAACCAUGCAUGUCCUGCAAUUGUGGUGAGCUUAAUUUUUCCCCUUUAUAAGGAAUUUUCUUGAAAGUCCCCUUGAGGAACAUUGGCUCUUAUAGUCAAAAUUAUUUAAAAAAUUAAUAGAUUCUAGCCACUACAAGUCUGUUUAAUCUUUAGUUUGGAUCUCCGUCUUUUGUUUUUUUCUCUUUGGUCUCUAACUGUAUUGAAUUUUGGUAGAUAGAAUAGGCAGACCCACUUAUCCUUUUCUUUGAUUGGGUAGAGGCAUUCAUAUUUUUUAAAAAGGGCUUAGGUUCUGAUGCUACUUUAGCACCUAAUUUUAAUCUCUUGGCACACCUACUUUUUACUUGGAGAUUUGACAUGACAAAAAGCUUUUGAGUGUUUAAUCUGUGGAUGUCCUUUACAGAUAAAUUGGCUAUUGUGUUGUAUUUCAAGUGGCUCAAAGCAUUUCCUUAAGUAAUCAUUUUGGAUCUAUAGCCAAUAAGUAAUCUUGUAUUGUAGGAGCAUUCCGAAAUUUACUUUUGACGUUGAUUAUCAUGUGUUGUUGUUUUCAUCAUCAUCAUUUAGUAUUUUAGUAUUUGGGUGCUGAUGUAUUUAGUAUUUUAGUUGCAUUGUCUGUGUACAUGUGGUGUAUAUGACAUACUUGACAACUAGUUGUGAUGUGAAAACUUUAAAACAAUUUAUGAGUUUUACUAAUUAUCAAGUUGUCUAUAUAGUGGCAGACUCAUAUGUGUACGGGUGUGUGACAUGUGGGUAAAAUGUGAUGACUUCAGAGAUCUUAUAUCAUGAAAUUUUCUUCUUACUUAAGAAGAUAU
Non-coding RNA from Durio zibethinus, 2416 nucleotides. Lineage: Eukaryota; Viridiplantae; Streptophyta; Magnoliopsida; Malvales; Malvaceae. The record is from RefSeq and is a predicted model, not a curated record.